RNAcentral lists this ribosomal RNA (254 nucleotides) under uncultured bacterium. RNAcentral's name for it is "partial 16S ribosomal RNA". It matches the Rfam family "Bacterial small subunit ribosomal RNA", at positions 524 to 776 of the family's 1533-position model. The record is from RNAcentral.
UACGUAGGGUGCGAGCGUUAAUCGGAAUUACUGGGCGUAAAGAGCUCGUAGGCGGUCUGUCGCGUCGAUCGUGAAAACUUGGGGCUUAACCCUGAGCUUGCGGUCGAUACGGGCAUGACUGGAGUUCGGCAGGGGAGACUGGAAUUCCUGGUGUAGCGGUGAAAUGCGCAGAUAUCGGGAGGAACACCAAUGGCGAAGGCAGCUCGCUGGGACGGUACUGACGCUGAGACGCGAAAGCGUGGGGAGCAAACAGG